RNAcentral lists this ribosomal RNA (205 nucleotides) under Ceratorhiza hydrophila. RNAcentral describes it as "partial small subunit ribosomal RNA". It matches the Rfam family "Eukaryotic small subunit ribosomal RNA", at positions 1334 to 1561 of the family's 1831-position model. Lineage: Eukaryota; Fungi; Basidiomycota; Agaricomycetes; Cantharellales; Ceratobasidiaceae. The record is from RNAcentral.
AACGAGACCUUAACCUGCUAAAUAGUCCGGCCGGCUUUUGCUGGUCGCAGACUGCUUAGAGGGACUGUCAGCGUCUAGCUGACGGAAGUUUGAGGCAAUAACAGGUCUGUGAUGCCCUUAGAUGUUAUGGGCAGAACGCGCGCUAAACUGACAGAGACAGAGAGUUAUCACAUUGGCCGGAAGGUCUGGGUAAUCUUGUGAAACU